Long non-coding RNA from Teleopsis dalmanni, 605 nucleotides. RefSeq lists it as uncharacterized. The record is from RefSeq and is a predicted model, not a curated record. The transcript is spliced from 3 exons. NCBI's taxonomy places the organism in Eukaryota, Metazoa, Arthropoda, Insecta, Diptera, Diopsidae.
AAAAAUUAUAUAUAUAUACAUCUGUAUUUUUUCGCUACAUCGCAUCAAGUACAAAAUAUUUAAUGUUGGCAAUGCCGACAAUAUUUGCGAAGCCAUUUCGACCAAAAUAAAGCGAAAACGAAGGGUGCGAUAUAUAUAAAAAAAUUUGGCUAAAUUUGUUUUCGGAAGAAGAUAUCCUCGAUCGCCUCAAGCACAAAAAAUAAAAAUGGGUAUUAACAUUGACGACUUUCUAGAAGACCAAACUACACUUAAAAAUUUUGAGUGCUGCAUAUGCCUCGACGGCUAUGAAAACCCAUCUACAAUAAAAGUUUGCGGCCAUACAUUUUGUAAGGCAUGUAUAGUGGAAUGGAGAGAGAACCACAAUUCUUGCCCAGUGUGUCGUACUGCAUUUAAUUUGAUGCACUUAAAAAAUUUUAGAGGCAAGCGGUACAACGCUUACCUAAGUUUUAAAAUAAAGUGCGAGAAUGAGGGAUGUAAGACUGUCGUAACUGUUGGUGGUCGAAAAGCUCAUCUUAAGCGGUGUCGCUUUAAGCCCAAGCCCGAAGACUAGUUGAUGCAUUAUAAAAAUUUUUUAAAAUUGAAUCUACCGAAGAAGAAAAGAAUUU